UAUUGCACAAUGGGGGAAACCCUGAUGCAGCGACGCCGCGUGAGUGAAGAAGUAUUUCGGUAUGUAAAGCUCUAUCUGCAGGGAAGAAAAUGACGGUACCUGAUUAAGAAGCCCCGGCUAACUACGUGCCAGCAGCCGCGGUAAUACGUAGGGGGCAAGCGUUCUCCGGAUUUACUGGGUGUAAAGGGAGCGUAGACGGCAGCACAAGUCUGGAGUGAAAUGCCGGGGCCUAACCCCGGAACUGCUUUGGAAACUGUGCAGCUAGAGUACCGGAGAGGUAAGCGGAAUUCCUAGUGUAGCGGUGAAAUGCGUAGAUAUUAGGAGGAACACCAGUGGCGAAGGCGGCUUACUGGACGGAAACUGACGUUGAGGCUCGAAAGCGUGGGGAGCAAACAGG
This 397-nucleotide ribosomal RNA is filed under the name uncultured bacterium. RNAcentral's name for it is "bacterial SSU rRNA". It matches the Rfam family "Bacterial small subunit ribosomal RNA", at positions 362 to 776 of the family's 1533-position model. The record is from RNAcentral.